RNAcentral lists this ribosomal RNA (492 nucleotides) under uncultured bacterium. RNAcentral's name for it is "partial 16S ribosomal RNA". It matches the Rfam family "Bacterial small subunit ribosomal RNA", at positions 29 to 507 of the family's 1533-position model. The record is from RNAcentral.
AGUGAACGCUGGCGGUAGGCCUAACACAUGCAAGUCGAACGGCAGCACAGUAAGAGCUUGCUCUUACGGGUGGCGAGUGGCGGACGGGUGAGGAAUACAUCGGAAUCUACUUUUUCGUGGGGGAUAACGUAGGGAAACUUACGCUAAUACCGCAUACGACCUACGGGUGAAAGCAGGGGAUCUUCGGACCUUGCGCGAUUGAAUGAGCCGAUGUCGGAUUAGCUAGUUGGCGGGGUAAAGGCCCACCAAGGCGACGAUCCGUAGCUGGUCUGAGAGGAUGAGCGGCCACACUGGAACUGAGACACGGUCCAGACUCCUACGGGAGGCAGCAGUGGGGAAUAUUGGACAAUGGGCGCAAGCCUGAUCCAGCCAUACCGCGUGGGUGAAGAAGGCCUUCGGGUUGUAAAGCCCUUUUGUUGGGAAAGAAAAGCAGCAGGUUAAUACCCCGCUGUUCUGACGGUACCCAAAGAAUAAGCACCGGCUAACUUCGUG